UACAGAGGGUGCGAGCGUUGUCCGGAAUCACUGGGCGUAAAGGGCGCGUAGGUGGCGACCCAAGCCGAUGGUGAAAGCUCGCCGCUCAACGGCGAGUCGGCCACUGAUACUGGGUUGCUGGAGCACUGUAGAGGCAGAUGGAAUUCCGGGUGUAGCGGUGGAAUGCGUAGAGAUCCGGAAGAACACCGGUGGCGAAGGCGGUGGUCUGGGCCUGAACUGACGCUGAGGAGCGAAAGCCAGGGGAGCAAACGGG
Molecule: ribosomal RNA, 253 nt
Filed under: uncultured bacterium
Lineage: Bacteria
Description: partial 16S ribosomal RNA
Rfam family: Bacterial small subunit ribosomal RNA
Source: RNAcentral